CCUACGGGAGGCUGCAGUGGGGAAUAUUGCACAAUGGGGGAAACCCUGAUGCAGCGACGCCGCGUGAGCGAUGAAGUAUUUCGGUAUGUAAAGCUCUAUCAGCAGGGAAGAAAAUGACGGUACCUGACUAAGAAGCCCCGGCUAACUACGUGCCAGCAGCCGCGGUAAUACGUAGGGGGCAAGCGUUAUCCGGAUUUACUGGGUGUAAAGGGAGCGUAGACGGCGGUGCAAGCCAGAUGUGAAAGCCCGGGGCUCAACCCCGGGACUGCAUUUGGAACUGUGCUGCUAGAGUGUCGGAGAGGCAGGCGGAAUUCCUAGUGUAGCGGUGAAAUGCGUAGAUAUUAGGAGGAACACCAGUGGCGAAGGCGGCUUGCUGGACGAUGACUGACGUUGAGGCUCGAAAGCGUGGGGAGCAAACAGGAUUAGAUACCCUGGUAGUC
Molecule: ribosomal RNA, 440 nt
Filed under: uncultured bacterium
Lineage: Bacteria
Description: partial 16S ribosomal RNA
Rfam family: Bacterial small subunit ribosomal RNA
Source: RNAcentral